CGCAAUAGCAAGAAGCUUUGCCUGUAUCAUUUGGACUGGAUGUAGGGGUACACGUUGAUCAAUUUAACCUGCUGGUUCAACAAGUGAGAGAUUUGACUAUGGCAGUCCAAGCAAUGCAACAAAUUAAUCCUACAUCGCGAAGGCACCAUAGUCAGAGCAACCUCCACCUCCUCCACGUAGCCUAGAGCAGAGAAGGCAAAUCAAGCAC
RNAcentral lists this long non-coding RNA (208 nucleotides) under Elaeis guineensis (African oil palm). RNAcentral describes it as "long non-coding RNA (EGUI_LNC036709)". Lineage: Eukaryota; Viridiplantae; Streptophyta; Magnoliopsida; Arecales; Arecaceae. The record is from RNAcentral.